CAGCAGCCGCGGGAAAACAGAGGGUGCGAGCGUUAAUCGGAUUUACUGGGCGUAAAGCGUGCGUAGGCGGUUAUAUAAGACAGAUGUGAAAUCCCCGGGCUCAACCUGGGAACUGCAUUUGUGACUGUAUAGCUAGAGUACGGCAGAGGGGGAUGGAAUUCCGCGUGUAGCAGUGAAAUGCGUAGAUAUGCGGAGGAACACCGAUGGCGAAGGCAAUCCCCUGGGCCUGUACUGACGCUCAUGCACGAAAGCGUGGGGAGCAAACAGGAUUAGAUACCCCCGUAGUCCCUGUCUCUUAUAU
Molecule: ribosomal RNA, 301 nt
Filed under: uncultured bacterium
Lineage: Bacteria
Description: partial 16S ribosomal RNA
Rfam family: Bacterial small subunit ribosomal RNA
Source: RNAcentral